Molecule: ribosomal RNA, 269 nt
Filed under: Vibrio parahaemolyticus
Lineage: Bacteria; Pseudomonadati; Pseudomonadota; Gammaproteobacteria; Vibrionales; Vibrionaceae
Description: partial 16S ribosomal RNA
Rfam family: Bacterial small subunit ribosomal RNA
Source: RNAcentral
UGGAAACGAUGGCUAAUACCGCAUGAUGCCUACGGGCCAAAGAGGGGGACCUUCGGGCCUCUCGCGUCAGGAUAUGCCUAGGUGGGAUUAGCUAGUUGGUGAGGUAAGGGCUCACCAAGGCGACGAUCCCUAGCUGGUCUGAGAGGAUGAUCAGCCACACUGGAACUGAGACACGGUCCAGACUCCUACGGGAGGCAGCAGUGGGGAAUAUUGCACAAUGGGCGCAAGCCUGAUGCAGCCAUGCCGCGUGUGUGAAGAAGGCCUUCGGG